UCUUUUUCUCUAAAGAAAGAGAUAGAGCUCUUACACAGAAAUGUGAAGCAACAUUUAGACAAAGCUCCCGUUUGGGCAUUUAGGCUUUUCUGCACAGCUCCCCUGGAGAGUGCUGGCCUAAUGGGUGGACUCGUGAGUCAGCAGCAGGGAUCCCACUGAGUCACGUUAAGAUCCCUGGAACCACAUCCUCCCCUUGGCUCACACUUCUUCACCAGGCAUACUAGGGGUGCAAGAAAUGCAUACUGAGUAUUCUAAAGGAGUGAUCUAGACCGGGGGCGUUCCACAGCACAGCUGCUUAACCAACCGGAGGGAAAACUUUUUCUUCUUUCUAAGGUGCAUGGAAGGUUCUGACUGCUGGAAAGAGAAAAAAACACGAAAAGAUUAAUGGGCCAGUGUCGCCUGAGGAUUCACUACCAACAGACAUGAGCUGCCUGUUCCUAUUUAGUAUCUCUGCAUCUUCCUGAAGGCUGAGUUCUACUAUUUGACUCUUUCUAUCCCUUUAAAUAAUAGGCUGCACAUGAAAUAAAAUCUACUGAGUUUCAACUGAGGCUAUAGGCUGAUGUUCUAUGAAGAGAAGAAAGGCAUUUAUGUCAGCCCUCACCUCCCAAGGUCAGAGCUGAUGCCCCGUGCUGAACAAAUCAACUCCAGAAUGCAACAUGUAUUGCUACUGCUGGCCUGUGGUUAUGCAAGUCAGUUGUCUCAGCAUGAGAGAUCAAGACGAUAGAUUAGGGAUACUUGUAUUCCGUUAGUUCUGUUUCAU
Long non-coding RNA from Myotis myotis, 760 nucleotides. RefSeq lists it as uncharacterized. The transcript has 3 exons. NCBI's taxonomy places the organism in Eukaryota, Metazoa, Chordata, Mammalia, Chiroptera, Vespertilionidae. The record is from RefSeq and is a predicted model, not a curated record.